Molecule: transfer RNA, 77 nt
Filed under: Acinetobacter johnsonii
Lineage: Bacteria; Pseudomonadati; Pseudomonadota; Gammaproteobacteria; Moraxellales; Moraxellaceae
Also listed under: 2 other names
Description: tRNA-Met
Rfam family: tRNA
About the family: Transfer RNA (tRNA) molecules are approximately 80 nucleotides in length. Their secondary structure includes four short double-helical elements and three loops (D, anti-codon, and T loops). Further hydrogen bonds mediate the characteristic L-shaped molecular structure. tRNAs have two regions of fundamental functional importance: the anti-codon, which is responsible for specific mRNA codon recognition, and the 3' end, to which the tRNAs corresponding amino acid is attached (by aminoacyl-tRNA synthetases). tRNAs cope with the degeneracy of the genetic code in two manners: having more than one tRNA (with a specific anti-codon) for a particular amino acid; and 'wobble' base-pairing, i.e. permitting non-standard base-pairing at the 3rd anti-codon position.
Source: RNAcentral
CGCGGGAUGGAGCAGUCUGGUAGCUCGUCGGGCUCAUAACCCGGAGGUCGUUGGUUCAAAUCCGACUCCCGCACCCA